GACGAACGCUGGCGGCGCGCUUAACACAUGCAAGUCGAACGGAAAGGCCUGCUUUCCCUUGUGGAUUGCGGGUACUCGAGUGGCGAACGGGUGAGUAACACGUGAGUGAUCUGCCCCCAACUUGGGUAUAACCCUGGGAAACUGGGUCUAAUUCCCGAUAGGACUGCAGGGUGGUGCCUGUGGUGGAAAACGAUUUUCUAGUGGUUGGGGAUGAGCUCGCGGCCUAUCAGCUUGUUGGUGGGGUAAUGGCCUACCAAGGCGGCGACGGGUAGCCGGCCUGAGAGGGUGGACGGCCACAUUGGGACUGAGAUACGGCCCAGACUCCUACGGGAGGCAGCAGUGGGGAAUAUUGCACAAUGGGCGGAAGCCUGAUGCAGCGACGCCGCGUGGGGGAUGACGGCCUUCGGGUUGUAAACUCCUUUCGACCGCGAGGAAGCCACCUGGUUGGAAGGGUGGUGACGGUAGUGGUAGAAGAAGCACCGGCUAACUACGUG
Molecule: ribosomal RNA, 494 nt
Filed under: uncultured bacterium
Lineage: Bacteria
Description: partial 16S ribosomal RNA
Rfam family: Bacterial small subunit ribosomal RNA
Source: RNAcentral